GACGAACGCUGGCGGCGUGCUUAACACGUGCAAGUCGAACGGAAAGGCCCUGCUUUUGUGGGGUGCUCGAGUGGCGAACGGGUGAGUAACGCGUGAGUAACCUGCCCUUGACUUUGGGAUAACUUCAGGAAACUGGGGCUAAUACCGGAUAGGAGCUCCUGCUGCAUGGUGGGGGUUGGAAAGUUUCGGCGGUUGGGGAUGGACUCGCGGCUUAUCAGCUUGUUGGUGGGGUAGUGGCUUACCAAGGCUUUGACGGGUAGCCGGCCUGAGAGGGUGACCGGCCACAUUGGGACUGAGAUACGGCCCAGACUCCUACGGGAGGCAGCAGUGGGGAAUAUUGCACAAUGGGCGGAAGCCUGAUGCAGCAACGCCGCGUGCGGGAUGACGGCCUUCGGGUUGUAAACCGCUUUCGCCUGUGACGAAGCGUGAGUGACGGUAAUGGGUAAAGAAGCACCGGCUAACUACGUG
RNAcentral lists this ribosomal RNA (468 nucleotides) under uncultured bacterium. Its description in RNAcentral is "partial 16S ribosomal RNA". It matches the Rfam family "Bacterial small subunit ribosomal RNA", at positions 28 to 507 of the family's 1533-position model. The record is from RNAcentral.